Molecule: long non-coding RNA, 984 nt
Organism: Megalobrama amblycephala (Wuchang bream)
Lineage: Eukaryota; Metazoa; Chordata; Actinopteri; Cypriniformes; Xenocyprididae
Exons: 2
Source: RefSeq, a predicted model, not a curated record
CCAUGGAAGAGCAUGUUUGGUGGUAGCACGUUUCUAGGUCUCUCUCCUCGAGAUAGGCGUAUUAUGUGCGUGAGUCUACUCUUCUCGCCGCCAUGACCCUGCCUUGUGUUCUUUGCCGUUGAAGCCUCUAGUCUGCAGGAAUCCAGCAGUGUGCUGUCUGACUGGUUGACAUCUGUUCUGCUGUCCUUGGGGCUGAGGUAGUAGAUUGAAUAGUUGUGGAGCACGGUGCUCUCUCACUGAGAUAACUAUACAAUCUACUGUCUUUCCUAAGGCGACAGCCAAAUCAUCCACAAACCAACAUGGACUCGUUUGAAAUAACCACCUCACACAUGUCUACAGCCGGAUAGGAUAUUCAAUCACAUUACAGAAGUAAAAUUGGUUGUGAUUUAUGUUUCAUGUUGACUUUGUAAAUACGCUAGUGUGUCAGCGGAUGUGUGUCACGGGACUGCACUUUGGUGUCUUGACAGGGUGAGGUAGUAGGUUGUAUAGUUUGGUGGGAGGGAUCAAACCCUGUUCAGGUGAUAACUAUACAGUCUAUUGCCUUCCUUGUGGUACCAACUAUCUGCCCACUAGGGGAAACUCCCUGGAGUUUAAAUAUUGUUAAACCCUAUGGUCACACAAUAUGAACUAUAUUUAUGUAAAAGAAGGAGUGUUUCAGUUACAGUAUUCACACUGCCCACCUAAUCAAAGCAGCAUGUGUAAUACACAAAUAUGUUGAAAAUGCCCUAUUAACCUAUUUAUCAACACAAUCUUUUGCAGGAUAGACUUCUGUGAAGAAGCCAAGUAAUGAAGCAAACUCCCAACAAAACAAACACUUUUUUUCCAGUAUCUCUGACUGUGUUGAUUGAAUAAACAUUUAGAUGCAGAACCUCAUGUAAAUUACACUGCUGUUUGGAGACAGUAAGAUUUUUUAAAAUAAAUUUCAAGGAUGCUUAAAAGCGACAGUACAGACAUUUAGAACAUUACUAUUCAUUAAAAAAUUCU